Molecule: ribosomal RNA, 757 nt
Filed under: uncultured prokaryote
Description: bacterial SSU rRNA
Rfam family: Bacterial small subunit ribosomal RNA
Source: RNAcentral
GAUGAACGCUGACAGAAUGCUUAACACAUGCAAGUCGAUUCGAUUUACCUUCGGGUAUUGAGGAUGGCGGACGGGUGAGUAACGCGUAAGGAACUUGCCUCUUGGUCUGGGACAACUGUUGGAAACGACAGCUAAUACCGGAUAUUAUGAGAUUCUCGCAUGGGAAACUUAUGAAAGCUAUAUGCGCCAAGGGAGAGCCUUGCGUUCCAUUAGCUAGUUGGUGGGGUAACGGCCCACCAAGGCGACGAUGGAUAGCCGGCCUGAGAGGGUGAACGGCCACAAGGGGACUGAGACACGGCCCUUACUCCUACGGGAGGCAGCAGUGGGGAAUAUUGGACAAUGGGCCACAAGCCUGAUCCAGCAAUUCUGUGUGCACGAUGAAGGUCUUCGGAUUGUAAAGUGCUUUCAGUUGGGAAGAAGAAAGUGACGGUACCAACAGAAGAAGCGACGGCUAAAUACGUGCCAGCAGCCGCGGUAAUACGUAUGUCGCAAGCGUUAUCCGGAUUUAUUGGGCGUAAAGCGCGUCUAGGCGGAAAAAUAAGUCUGAUGUUAAAAUGCGGGGCUCAACUCCGUAUUGCGUUGGAAACUGUUUUUCUAGAGUACUGNAGAGGUGGGCGGAACUACNAGUGUAGAGGUGAAAUUCGUAGAUAUUUGUAGGAAUGCCGAUGGAGAAGUCAGCUCACUGGACAGAUACUGACGCUAAAGCGCGAAAGCGUGGGGAGCAAACAGGAUUAGAUACCCUGGUAGUCCACGCCNU